RNAcentral lists this ribosomal RNA (498 nucleotides) under uncultured bacterium. RNAcentral's name for it is "bacterial SSU rRNA". It matches the Rfam family "Bacterial small subunit ribosomal RNA", at positions 96 to 628 of the family's 1533-position model. The record is from RNAcentral.
UGGCAGACGGGUGAGUAACAUGUGGGUAUCUACCCUUUGGCCUGGAAUAACACGAGGAAACUUGUGCUAAUACCGGAUAAGUCUUUACGGAGAAAGCUUUAUGCACCAUUGGAUGAGCCUGCACUUGAUUAGUUUGUUGGUGGGGUAAUGGCCUACCAGGACUGUGAUCAAUAGCUGAUUUGAGAGGAUGAUCAGCCACAUUGGGACUGAGACACGGCCCAAACUCCUACGGGAGGCAGCAGUGGGGAAUCUUGCACAAUGGAGGAAACUCUGAUGCAGCAACGCCGCGUGGAGGAUGACGCAUUUCGGUGUGUAAACUCCUUUUAUAUGUCAAGAAAAUGACGGUAGCAUAUGAAUAAACACCGGCUAACUCCGUGCCAGCAGCCGCGGUAAUACGGAGGGUGCAAGCGUUAUUCGGAAUCACUGGGCGUAAAGGACGCGUAGGCGGGAUGCCAAGUCUGAUGUGAAAUCCUAUGGCUUAACCAUAGAACUGCAUUG